RNAcentral lists this transfer RNA (72 nucleotides) under Perca flavescens (yellow perch). Its description in RNAcentral is "tRNA-Pro". It matches the Rfam family "tRNA". From Rfam's summary of the family: Transfer RNA (tRNA) molecules are approximately 80 nucleotides in length. Their secondary structure includes four short double-helical elements and three loops (D, anti-codon, and T loops). Lineage: Eukaryota; Metazoa; Chordata; Actinopteri; Perciformes; Percidae. The record is from RNAcentral.
GGCUCGUUGGUCUAGGGGUAUGAUUCUUGCUUAGGGGUGCGAGAGGUCCCGGGUUCAAAUCCGGACGAGCCC